UAACUGGUCGAUCCUGCCAGUAGUCAUAUGCUUGUCUCAAAGAUUAAGCCAUGCAUGUCUAAGUAUGAAUAGUAUUCUUGAUACUGUGAAACUGCGAAUGGCUCAUUAAAUCAGUUAUAGUUUAUUUGAUAGUUUGCAACUCGUUUUUCGGAGCGGUGUUGUGCUAGACGGAUAGCCGUGGUAAUUCUAGAACUAAUACGUGCGACAAGGCCCGAGAGAGGGGUGUGUGUGUAUGCGCAUUUUUUCUUUUCGAGGGCUGCAUUUGUUAGGUAUAAAGCCAGCAGGAACAUGACUGGUGAAUCAGAAUAACUUUGCAGACCGUUACACUUUUGUGUGUGAUGGUGUCUCAUUCGAAUUUCUGCCCUAUCAACUUUC
This 375-nucleotide non-coding RNA is filed under the name Salpingoeca rosetta. Its description in RNAcentral is "Salpingoeca sp. ATCC 50818 Eukaryotic small subunit ribosomal RNA". It matches the Rfam family "Eukaryotic small subunit ribosomal RNA", at positions 1 to 323 of the family's 1831-position model. Lineage: Eukaryota; Choanoflagellata; Craspedida; Salpingoecidae. The record is from Rfam by way of RNAcentral.